AUCUAUAUAGUUUAAAUUAAAAACCUUAAUUUUGUAAAUUAAAAAUAAACUCAAUUUUUAUAGAUA
RNAcentral lists this transfer RNA (66 nucleotides) under Andrena bicolor. RNAcentral describes it as "tRNA-Thr". Lineage: Eukaryota; Metazoa; Arthropoda; Insecta; Hymenoptera; Andrenidae. The record is from RNAcentral.